AGAUUGAACGCUGGCGGCAGGCCUAACACAUGCAAGUCGAGCGGCAGCACGGGUACUUGUACCUGGUGGCGAGCGGCGGACGGGUGAGUAAUGCCUAGGAAUCUGCCUGGUAGUGGGGGAUAACGCUCGGAAACGGACGCUAAUACCGCAUACGUCCUACGGGAGAAAGGCAGGGGACCUUCGGGCCUUGCGCUAAUCAGAUGAGCCUAGGUCGGAUUAGCUAGUUGGUGAGGUAAUGGCUCACCAAGGCGACGAUCCGUAACUGGUCUGAGAGGAUGAUCAGUCACACUGGAACUGAGACACGGUCCAGACUCCUACGGGAGGCAGCAGUGGGAAUAUUGGACAAUGGGCGAAAGCCUAGAUCCAGCCAAUGCCGCGUGUGUGAAGAAGGUCUUCGGAUUGUAAAGCAACUUUAAGUGGAGAGGCAGUACCUAAUACGUAUACUUGUUUGACGUUACCGA
This 461-nucleotide ribosomal RNA is filed under the name uncultured soil bacterium. Its description in RNAcentral is "bacterial SSU rRNA". It matches the Rfam family "Bacterial small subunit ribosomal RNA", at positions 26 to 481 of the family's 1533-position model. The record is from RNAcentral.